Molecule: ribosomal RNA, 328 nt
Filed under: uncultured bacterium
Lineage: Bacteria
Description: bacterial SSU rRNA
Rfam family: Bacterial small subunit ribosomal RNA
Source: RNAcentral
UGCGUAGGCGGCUCUUUAAGUCAGUGGUGAAAUCUUGCCGCUUAACGGUAAAAUUGCCAUUGAUACUGAAGAGCUUGAGUACAGUUGAGGUAAGCGGAAUGUGUAGUGUAGCGGUGAAAUGCUUAGAUAUUACACAGAACACCAAUUGCGAAGGCAGCUUACUAAACUGUUACUGACGCUGAUGCACGAAAGCGUGGGGAGCGAACAGGAUUAGAUACCCUGGUAGUCCACGCCGUAAACGAUGCUCACUCGCUGUUUGCGAUACACAGCAAGCGGCCAAGCGAAAGCAUUAAGUGAGCCACCUGGGGAGUACGAUCGCAAGGUUGAA